UGCCUCUGUUAAAGUUUGAUCAUGGCUCACCUUGGAUCUUAUCCUUAGAGUUUGAUCAUGGCUCAGGUUGGAUCACCUCCUUAGAGUUUGAUCAUGGCUCAGGUUGGAACACCUCCUUAGAGUUUGAUCAUGGCUCAGAUUGAACGCUGGCGGCAGGCUUAACACAUGCAAGUCGUGCGGGGAAGGGUAGCUUGCUACCUGACCUAGCGGCGGACGGGUGAGUAAUGCUUAGGAAUCUGCCUAUUAGUGGGGGACAACAUCUCGAAAGGGAUAGCUAAUACCGCAUACGUCCUACGGGAGAAAGCAGGGGAUCUUCGGACCUUGCGCUAAUAGAUGAGCCUAAGUCGGAUUAGCUAGUUGGUAGGGGUAAAGGCCUACCAAGGCGACGAUCUGUAGCGGGUACUGAGAGGAUGAUCCGCCACACUGGGACUGAGACACGGCCCAGACUCCUACGGGAGGCAGCAGUGGGGAAUAUUGGACAAUGGGGGGAACCCCGAUCCAGCCAUGCCGCGUGUGUGAACGAAGGCCUUAUGGUUGUAAAGCACUUUAAAGCGAGGAGGAGGCUACUUUAGUUAAUACCUAGAGAUAGUGGACGUUACUCGUCAGAAUAAGCACCGGGNUAACUCUUGUGCCAGNAGCCGCGGUAAUAACAGAGGGUGCAAGCGUUUAAUCGGACUUACUGGGGCGUAAAGCGCGCGUAUGAGGNUAAUAAGUCACUGUGAAUUCCCGAGCUU
Molecule: ribosomal RNA, 734 nt
Filed under: uncultured bacterium
Lineage: Bacteria
Description: bacterial SSU rRNA
Rfam family: Bacterial small subunit ribosomal RNA (bases 112-734)
Source: RNAcentral